Molecule: long non-coding RNA, 1356 nt
Organism: Cyprinus carpio carpio
Lineage: Eukaryota; Metazoa; Chordata; Actinopteri; Cypriniformes; Cyprinidae
Source: Ensembl
GUCACACGCUAAUGAACGUAAAACUGAACGAAUCAGUGAAGGAUUCAAAAGAUUCGACUCACUGAGUUCAAUUUAAAACUCCAACGCUGUCAGACUUUCACAGUUUCAUCCCAGCCUAUUAUUCUCCCGUCCCAAAAUAAUACCGAAUAAUGCCCAUAUACGUAUAAAUCCAAGGCCUUUCAGUAAAGAAACGUGAUAAUAAUAAUAAAACCGAGGAUGUUCUGAAUGUAAGAAUUUUAGAAAGCCUCAGGUAAGGCACUAGCGCCCUCGUGUGUUAAAAACUGUAAUGGGCCUCGUUGGCAGAAUGAGUGAUGUUAUGUAACGCCUGUCAACGCGCCCCUUCUCACAAGAACUCACUACUUCACUUCUGCUCUUGUGGCAAAUAUAGUAUCUAUACGAACCCACAGCCCUUCUUAUAGGCUCUCAGCGCACGUGAAGAACAGUGUGCUUAUUCAAAACAUAAACAAGAGGCGUGGCGCGAGGUGGAGUUAGCUGUCAUGAAGGCUACUACCAUGCAUAACUCUCGUUUUACUGUCCAGAGCAGCUACCUACGUGAUAUAAUAUCAGUCUAAGGGACUUUAUACACUGACUAAAUACUUUGUAGGUAUUUAUAUAAGUAGGUAUUUUGAUAUUAAAGAGAAGAGUGCAGACCCCAAAACGGAGGUACCGCGUGUUCUGUAAUGUGACACAAAGAGCUGUCAAGAAGGGGGAGGGCACCUUACAACAGAAAUAAAAAAGCUCAUGAGUUGUUCUCCAAUGACAGAACACCCGACACAACUUCAGGGGCUGGCGUUUAUUUGCCUUUUUACCAAAGUUGUACAAUCGGAGCCGAGCAGUCCAACGUGGCGAUCUCUCAAGCACCAGAAGAGCGGGAUAAAAAUAUUGCACUGGGUCUGAACGACUGGAUUUUUAGCUGAAUCGAUAACACAGAGGCUGUCAGUCAGUCGAAGAAGAAAAGAAAAAAAAACACUCACACACAGGGCAACUCCCCCUGAUCCGGGCUGCAAGUGCAAAAAAACAACAACUACUUAGACAUGCAAGGACAUGAAGACAAAAGAGAGAUGAGAUGUUUAUUUUUCCCAUCACGAGAUCAUCAUAGAGGCAUCGGACUUUGAAAACUUUCCACCUCACAAAGUCCGCCUGUCAGUCAACUCAGAAUGACAAGCGGCUCCAGCUCUGACGCAGUAACACACCUCUUUCUCUCACAUGCUCUCUUUGCUAGAGAGGGUUCUGGACAUCUGUGUACUUUUCCAUUCUCACAGUGGAGAAAACACAGAUCCCAGAGGCAGACCCAACUCUGUGUAUGUUUUGCCAGUCCCCCUUUUCCAUUAAACCUAUUUUAUUGGACUGUCCCGC